UACAUAGGCAGCGAGCGUUGUUCGGAAUUACUGGGCGUAAAGAGUGUGUAGGCGGUGCUCUAAGUUCGGUGUGAAAUCUCCUGGCUCAACUGGGAGGGUGCGCCGGAAACUGGAGUGCUUGAGCGUGGGAGAGGAAAGCGGAAUUCCUGGUGUAGCGGUGAAAUGCGUAGAUAUCUGGAGGAACACCGGUGGCGAAGGCGGCAUCCUGGACCGGCAUUGACGCUGAGGCGGCGAAAGCUAGGGGAGCAAAC
Molecule: ribosomal RNA, 251 nt
Filed under: uncultured bacterium
Lineage: Bacteria
Description: partial 16S ribosomal RNA
Rfam family: Bacterial small subunit ribosomal RNA
Source: RNAcentral